This 181-nucleotide ribosomal RNA is filed under the name uncultured Actinomycetales bacterium. Its description in RNAcentral is "partial 16S ribosomal RNA". It matches the Rfam family "Bacterial small subunit ribosomal RNA", at positions 149 to 334 of the family's 1533-position model. Lineage: Bacteria; Bacillati; Actinomycetota; Actinomycetes; Actinomycetales. The record is from RNAcentral.
CUGGGAAACUGGGUCUAAUACCGGAUAGGACGAUGGUUUGGAUGCCAUUGUGGAAAGUUUUUCGGUGUGGGAUGAGCUCGCGGCCUAUCAGCUUGUUGGUGGGGUAAUGGCCUACCAAGGCGUCGACGGGUAGCCGGCCUGAGAGGGUGUACGGCCACAUUGGGACUGAGAUACGGCCCAG